CGGGUGAGUAACGCGUAUCCUAACCUUCCCCUUAGUAGGGCAUACGCCCGGCGAAAGUCGGAUUAAUACCCUAUGUUGUUUGAUGCGGACAUCUAAAUCAAACCAAAGAUUCAUCGCUAAGGGAUGGGGAUGCGUCCGAUUAGCUUGCCGGCGGGGUAACGGCCCACCGGGGCUUCGAUCGGUAGGGGUUCUGAGAGGAAGGUCCCCCACACUGGAACUGAGACACGGUCCAGACUCCUACGGGAGGCAGCAGUGAGGAAUAUUGGUCAAUGGGCGUAAGCCUGAACCAGCCAAGUAGCGUGCAGGAUGACGGCCCUAUGGGUUGUAAACUGCUUUUGCACGGGAAUAAAGUUCGGCACGCGUGCCGUUUUGCAUGUACCGUGAGAAUAAGGACCGGCUAAUUCCGUGCC
This 410-nucleotide ribosomal RNA is filed under the name uncultured bacterium. Its description in RNAcentral is "bacterial SSU rRNA". It matches the Rfam family "Bacterial small subunit ribosomal RNA", at positions 103 to 509 of the family's 1533-position model. The record is from RNAcentral.